Molecule: ribosomal RNA, 556 nt
Filed under: Boophis mandraka
Lineage: Eukaryota; Metazoa; Chordata; Amphibia; Anura; Mantellidae
Description: partial 16S ribosomal RNA
Rfam family: Bacterial large subunit ribosomal RNA
Source: RNAcentral
GCUUCAAUAUAAGAGGUCUAGCCUGCCCAGUGACAAGAUUUAACGGCCGCGGUACCCUAACCGUGCAAAGGUAGCAUAAUCACUUGUUCUUUAAAUGAGGACUAGUAUCAAUGGCAUCACGAGGAUCUUACUGUCUCCCCCCUCCAAUCAGUGAAACUGAUCUCUCCGUGAAGAAGCGGAGAUAUUUACAUAAGACGAGAAGACCCCAUGGAGCUUUAAACCCGAUGACACCCACUUACUUCAUACCCCUAUAUACUUUUGGCUCUGCAUACUCGGUUUUAGGUUGGGGUGACCACGGAGUAUAAAACAACCUCCAUGAAGAAAGAAAAAUAAUCCUCAUCAGAGAAUAACACUUCCAAGAACUAAUAAAUUAAUUUAUAAUGAUCCGAUAUUCGAUCAACGAACCAAGUUACCCUGGGGAUAACAGCGCAAUCCACCUCAAGAGCCCCUAUCGACAGGUGGGUUUACGACCUCGAUGUUGGAUCAGGGUAUCCCAGUGGUGCAGCAGCUACUAAAGGUUCGUUUGUUCAACGAUCAAAACCCUACGUGAUCUGAG